GGGACGUCGGCGCCCAAUCAGCAGCGGAGCCGCUUGGGCCCGCAGGGUGCUGCGAGGUUAUUGGGCAACGCAAAUCCAGGCAGCUGGGCUGGAGGCGGUGGUCGCUAGGCUAGGUCAAGGGGGACCGCCUGGGCAGCAACCAUUCCCCUAUUCCUUGUCCUCAGCUUCCCUCCUGCCGGGCACCUCUCGCAGCGCAGGAUGUGGACUGAGUCAAAGCGGUGGGGGGAAGGGAGCAGGUCCCAGACGACCACGAUUCCCGAGGUUCCCACUCCCUGGAGACUCAGUAUGGCUGUACCGCUCCGGUGGUCUGGUCAGCGCACCUUGCCUCUGCACACCCAGCCUAGCCAUUCUCGAUCAUAACUGCUAAAAGGAGCAAAGGAGGAAGGCUUAAGAAGUAGAAUCCACGUGUAAAUCCAAACCCUUAUAUUAGUCUCCCCAUACCCCCAAAUCCGCCUCCAGGUAGCUCUUUAACCAGAACCCCCGGCAGGUAAAUUAAUUUGACUGCUUGGAGUUAAGAGCUAAAUAAGUUUGGGUGAAAAAAUGAGCUAGGACCUUCGGCGAUCCGGGAAAGGAAGACUGAGUCCCGACGUCAAAAGGCCCCGGCCUCGCAUUGGAGGCUACCUGAUUGCUGGAAAACUGUAGCGUUCAAGACAGUGUUGCCACUCAUUCUGUGCUGGUGAAUCCGUGUACACCAUGAUACCAAGACUUAGGGGUGCCAUCAGGCCCUUCUGGAGCCAGCUUCCUACUUGGAGGACACAGAAAAGACCACCGUGCUUCUGCAAUGUGGAUUCCCAGCACCACUUCAAGGUUCCAAAUCCCCGCUGGACCACUAACUGAUCCUGGUAUAACGUAAAGAGAAGUAGAUGGCAAGGGGAGGAAGCCACAGAAACAUGAUUGAUAUUGGGCAUCUCAUUGUUCUUGAAAAGUUUAGCUGCGAAUCAUGAAAGUAGAUGGCAAUGAAGAGAAAGGAUGUGGAUUUUCAGUUCUAUGUGAAAGAAAUUCUUCUCCAAAGUCACAUCAGAUCAAUGUCCAGUGGCCUUGACCUUAGAGCCUCAGGUCGGGGAAGGCCCGUGAGAUAAGACGUGGAUGUGAGGAGCCUGAACUUUUCAACACUGUCAGGUCUGUGAAAAGAAGAAAUGAAUAGCAAGUAGGUCCAGGAGCACUUUCUCCUCAUCUGGAGCCCAAGCCUUGAGCGACUGAGAGUAAAGGAAUGCUAAGGCCUGUCCUGCUGCCCCAGGACUAGAUGGGAAGCACAACAACAUAUACAAAUAAUCCUCCUGUGAACAGGGACACAAGUGAGAAUGACACCUUUAGAGAGCCCGAGGUGAAGUCUGUGUCCAUGUCUACCAGAAUUUGGCCUAUAAUCUUGACCUCAUCAUGAAGAGCUGCAACCAUCUGACCUAAUGUUACUCAGUAAUCUUCCUGUCAGAAUAAUACGUGAUGAGUAUUUUCAUUUUGUUAUCAUGGUUGUGAUCCUGAUUCCCUGAGGCUGGAUGACUACCUGGGUGGGAGCAUUACUCACUUAACAAAUACAUAUGGGAGUUUCCCGGUUGUCAGGCAUGAAGGAAGCACUGGGGCACCGGACAAACAUGGUGCCCACCUUCAAGGAGUUACAGUCCAGUGUGGACGCCCAUAUCUAAACAGACAUUACAUGACAUUGCUACUUUCCAACUUUUCUGUUAUUUUGGUGGCCUCCCAAAAUAGGUGGAUCCAUUGAUUUGAUUUUCGGCACCCUCUUGUGCCAAUCCCCUGCAUUAGUGUGCCUCUUGCAGUGCCAACUCCAUCUGUACAUCAUCGGGGAAGUGAACAAGAAAGCAGUCCCCAAGCCUGUCUCCAGACAAAAAGCAUAUCAUUGCCUGAAAUCAGCCCUCUGAUUCCUAAAUGCAACGGGCGAGUCACUGCCCCUCCCUGCUGAAAGAUCUUUUGGGGGCAGGCUGCAGACACAGCCCAGCUUGCAAGGGCCUGAGAGGGGAGGAGCCUUUGAAGUUAGGUGGCUGCUGUCCCCGGUGCACAUCACUCACGGCAUUCAUCCCUAAUAAUAUCUCAUGAAGACAAUCUUUUCUGGGAA
Long non-coding RNA from Equus caballus (horse), 2068 nucleotides. NCBI's taxonomy places the organism in Eukaryota, Metazoa, Chordata, Mammalia, Perissodactyla, Equidae. The record is from Ensembl.